RNAcentral lists this long non-coding RNA (636 nucleotides) under Pan troglodytes (chimpanzee). RNAcentral's name for it is "lincRNA". The record is from RNAcentral. Lineage: Eukaryota; Metazoa; Chordata; Mammalia; Primates; Hominidae.
GUAAGAAGACUGGUGGUGCUGCUGGAAUAAAAGGAGUGAUGGAAGACAGAUGACGGUGUGAGGAGAAAAGAUUUGGUGAAUCACAGUUAUGUUUCCUGGCAUUAAAUCACCCUUGAAUAUUUCUAUAAUAAAUGAAAUUCAAUAGGGCCUGAAAAAGGGGGUCAACCAAGUACUGUGACUUUCACAAUAAAAUUUGUAUGUAACAACUGAGUUUCGUGAUGGACAGAAUGCUAGAAGAGGAUUGAGAAAAGAGCAGCCCAAAAGCCACCUGGAAAAUAACCAAAUAUCAAAAUUCACUGUAGGACAUUCCUCAUGGGGCCAUCUGAAAUCCUUCUUAUUUUAAUAUAUGUUGUAGUUACAUUUUUUAUAGUUCCCACCUAUCAAAUUUGUGAGAGCUAUUCGUACCUGAAGAGCAUUUGUUCUUCGAUCCACACUAUCAAAAUUUCAUGGAUUUCUGUCACAUUUUAAUUAUAAAAAGGAUUACUCUUGAAAUCUUACUACUUGAAUUGUUGUAAAUCCUUAUUUUCAUUGUCAAGAAAUUUGCAUUUCAUAUUAUUUAUUCAGAAAAGCAUGAUUCCAGUUGUAUAAAUGUCAUAUACAUGUAUAUAUCUAGUCAUUAAGAAAAAGACUGGAAGG